Non-coding RNA from Eggerthella sp. CAG:1427, 104 nucleotides. NCBI's taxonomy places the organism in Bacteria, Bacillati, Actinomycetota, Coriobacteriia, Eggerthellales, Eggerthellaceae. The record is from Rfam.
GAUGGGGUCUCUGGAGAAUCCCAGAUUUACUGGGUGCCGAAGGGGCAAGGUUUCGCACCACUAAGCGGACCGAAACUCUCAGGCAAAAGGACAGAGCAUCAUAU